GACGUAGGAUGCGAGCGUUGUCCGGAUUUAUUGGGCGUAAAGAGUUCGUAGGUGGUUUUAUAAGUCUGGUGUAAAAGGCUGGGGCUCAACCCUGGUAUGGCACUGGAUACUGUAAGACUGGAGUGCAGUAGAGGCAAGCGGAAUUCCCAGUGUAGCGGUGAAAUGCGUAGAUAUUGGGAAGAACACCGGUGGCGCAAGCGGCUUGCUGGGCUGUAACUGACGCUGAGGAACGAAAGCUAGGGGAGCAAAUGGG
This 253-nucleotide ribosomal RNA is filed under the name uncultured bacterium. RNAcentral describes it as "partial 16S ribosomal RNA". It matches the Rfam family "Bacterial small subunit ribosomal RNA", at positions 524 to 776 of the family's 1533-position model. The record is from RNAcentral.